Anopheles arabiensis is the source of this 739-nucleotide long non-coding RNA. RefSeq lists it as uncharacterized. Lineage: Eukaryota; Metazoa; Arthropoda; Insecta; Diptera; Culicidae. The transcript is spliced from 2 exons. The record is from RefSeq and is a predicted model, not a curated record.
GAUAGUUUGCAAUUACCACUUGAAGAUACAAGUCCACCUUUACUGCGUGCCUACAGUUGACCCAAGUUGUACUACUCUUUGUGAAUUAAGUGAAUUCGAAAAUGCAUGGCGGGAAGUUAAGUAUCGAGAAGCUCCAUAGCGGUGUAUAUGAAACAACAUGACUGUCGAAAAUCGAAAUGUUGUUAGUCCGGGAAACCCUUUGGAAGUACGUUACAACGGCUGCCUCUGAACCAAUAAUCGGAAGGUGACGCCAAGAUGUGGGCUACGAUCGCUCUUCUUGUCUUGUACGAUAACACCCAGCAUUCUUUGAUCCGUGAUGUGAACCCUGCAAUGUCUAAAUUUGACUACAGAUAUAAAGCUGAAGCAUGGUGAAGCUGGACAGCUUGAAUCAUACGUUGAAGCCGACUGGGCCGGAGACCGUCAAAAAAAUCGAACUCGGGAUUCAUCUUCUUGCGAGCCGAACGAGAAAGACAAAGAACUGAACAUAUAGGCACUUUCGGUUCAAUUUCAUUCGGGACCUGGAAAGUGAGAGUGUAAAAUUGUUUUAAAAAAAUUUGUCUACCUAUUGGCAUUAAUUAGAACAUUUACCGGACCGUAUUCGCGUUGCCGAAAAUAGGAGCACCGCCUGCCGAAAAUAGGACCAAACUGCCGAAAAUAGGAACAAAAACAGUGUUUGCGUUUUUUUGAAUAUGGCUAGAAAAUGUAUUUGAAACGGGAAAUAAAAAAUAGCACAACAUAA